AUUGAACGCUGGCGGCAGGCCUAACACAUGCAAGUCGAGCGGAUGAAGGGAGAUUGCUCCUGUAUUCAUCGGCGGACGGGUGAGUAAUGCCUAGGGAGUUGGCUGGAAGUGGGGGAUAACGUCCGGAGACGGGCACUACUACCGGAUACGUCCUGUGGUAGACAGUGGGGGAACUACAGGUCUAACGCUAGAAGAUGAGCAUAUGACGGAUUAGCUUGUUGGUGAGGUAAAGGCCUACCAAGGCGACGAUGGGUAACCGGCUUGCGAGAGUGAUCAGCCACACUGGAACUGAGACACAGUCCAGACUCCUACGGGAGGCAGCAGUGGCGAAUAUUGCAAAAUGGGGGAAAUCAAGAUGGAGCGCCGUCGCGUGAGCGAAGAAGGCCUUCGGGUCGUAAAGCUCUGUACUAUGGGAAGAAAAGGACGGUACCAAAGAAGGAAGCCCCGGCUAACUACGUG
RNAcentral lists this ribosomal RNA (459 nucleotides) under uncultured bacterium. RNAcentral describes it as "partial 16S ribosomal RNA". It matches the Rfam family "Bacterial small subunit ribosomal RNA", at positions 29 to 507 of the family's 1533-position model. The record is from RNAcentral.